RNAcentral lists this ribosomal RNA (250 nucleotides) under uncultured bacterium. RNAcentral's name for it is "partial 16S ribosomal RNA". It matches the Rfam family "Bacterial small subunit ribosomal RNA", at positions 355 to 620 of the family's 1533-position model. The record is from RNAcentral.
UGAGGAAUCUUCCGCAAUGGGCGAAAGCCUGACGGAGCGACACCGCGUGGAGGACGAAGGCCUUUUGGUUGUAAACUCCUUUUCUGGGGGAAUAAAUGAUGAAGGUACCCCAGGAAUAAGCACCGGCUAACUACGUGCCAGCAGCCGCGGUAAUACGUAGGGUGCAAGCGUUAUCCGGAAUUAUUGGGCGUAAAGAGUUCGUAGGCGGUUUGGAAAGUUUGUAGUUAAAUCUGGUCGCUCAACGAUCAAC